This 625-nucleotide transfer RNA is filed under the name Lightfootiella montana G2.3. RNAcentral describes it as "Microcystis sanguinea G2.3 partial 16S-23S ribosomal RNA intergenic spacer". The stretch from base 255 to 327 matches the Rfam family "tRNA". RNAcentral also lists the same sequence under 1 other name. Lineage: Bacteria; Bacillati; Cyanobacteriota; Cyanophyceae; Chroococcidiopsidales; Chroococcidiopsidaceae. The record is from RNAcentral.
CACCUCCUUUACAGGGAGACCAAACCAAUUUGUCAGGCGUAAAGCGCGUGCUGACGAAGCGGUCAUCCCGUGGUCGGUCGAGGAAUUAGUGAGGCUUUCAAACUACAAUCGGUUCGGAUUCGGGGCUAUUAGCUCAGGUGGUUAGAGCGCACCCCUGAUAAGGGUGAGGUCCCUGGUUCGAGUCCAGGAUGGCCCACCUGGAAACAAAUUCGUAAUUACUACGAAUUAGCAAGGGUGAGGAAUUACCCAAGUCGGGGGGUAUAGCUCAGUUGGUAGAGCGCUGCCUUUGCAAGGCAGAAGCCAGCGGUUCGAGUCCGCUUACCUCCACUGGGAGGAGAAAGGGGGGUGGGCGAAAGCGUGGUGAAAGACCUGUGUUCACGAAUGCCGCCGCUAGUGCCAGCAGGGUGUGAGCGACAAGGACAGUGGAAAUAAUUGAAGAGUCAGCAACCGGACGAGGAACAACCGAGUCGGACUGCUGGAAAAUCUUCCAGCCAGAACCUUGAAAACUGCAUAGUAACGCGUGUUCAAUAGAUAGCUACUCUGAACAGGAAACUCGCAAGUGUAGCUACCAGGUGAAAAACUUGAGUGGUCAAGCUAAUUAGGGCUUACGGUGGAUACCUAGGCA